Pelobates cultripes (western spadefoot toad) is the source of this 277-nucleotide non-coding RNA. NCBI's taxonomy places the organism in Eukaryota, Metazoa, Chordata, Amphibia, Anura, Pelobatidae. The record is from the annotation of a GenBank genome assembly.
AGACAAGUUCACUGACACACAAACUUACUACAGAUAAGCUCACUGACACACACACGCUCACUACAGACAAGCUCACUCUCACACACAUGCUCACUGACACACAAUCUCACUACAGACAAACUCAGUAGACAAGCUCACUGACACACAUGCUUACUACGGACAAGCCUACUAGACAAGUUCACUGACACGCAAACUUACUACAGACAAGCUCACUCUCACACACAUGCUCACUACAGACAAGCUCACUGACACACAAACAUACUACAGACAAGCUCAC